GGUGGUGCAACCAUACAGAGACCUCAUCUGAUUUACCUAGCAUGGUGCUUGGCACAUAGUAGGUGCUCAAAAAAUUACUUGAAUGAAUGAAUGAACAAAUGAGGUUCAUCUUAGUUGACAAAGCAAUGGGAGAGGCUGGAGAUGGACUUGGUAUGGAUCCACCCUGCAACUUCCCUUGAGGCAUCCACCCUUUCCUCAUUCCUUGCAACCCUUGCAAAGCAAAGCUGUUCAACUAUGAGAUUUGCAAUUUGAUUUACUCCCGAGUGACAUCACAGCCAUCACCAUGGCAACACCCCACGAUGCCUGUCUGCCAGACAAAGUCUCUCCCGUCAGCAAAGGGCAGGUGGACACCCAGGAUGGAAAGGAGCCAUUUGAGAGGCACAAGCAUCAGCCUUCUCUGCCCUGCAGCCAGGGGCUGAUGGAGCUGGUGUUGGGCCACUCAGACUUCCUUCAUCCCCAUAACCAAAGGGACCAGAAACUUAGAAGAUGUCACAGUUUUAUCUACUACUGACCCUGCAGGCAGGGCUGCCUGGUAGUGAAAAAACAUGGUACGUAACAGAGUCGAGACAGGCUUGUGUCGGACGGACGUAGACUUCCACCCUGCGCUGCACUGCCUGGCCACCUGAUCUCCCUCAAAGAGCCUCAGUUUUUCACCUGUAAAGUGGGGAUAAUGCAUCCACAUCUCAGGAUCACUGCAAAGAGUAAGGACAUCGCAUAUAAAAAACUGGCCCACAGAAGGCAUGGAGUAAAUGCCAGCUGUUACAGCAGCUUCUGAAGGAAGGCAGAGCCUGCCUAGCAGCCACCCCACUGGCAAACGUGUCAACAGGAAGAGUGAGAAGUGAGCAAUGCCUCCUGAGCUGAUGCCUACAGAGGAGCUGUGACAAUCUGCCUCUAGAACAAUCUCAGCAAGCUGCCUGGCACAGGGGAAAUCCAACCAUGACGACUUUGCCCAGACUCUGCAAGAUGCUUUCUAAUUGUUGGUGUUCACGAGGGACAAGCAACAGCUGAGCUCAUUCCCUUCCUAUCAAUUUGCAACAUCUGCCCCAGCCCUUACUGACAGUAGAGAAAAAUAAGAACUUUCCGAGCACACCUUUAGGCCACCAAUCUUCAGUGACUUACUGGGCCCUUCCAGAAAUCAGAUUUUCUAACUGGUCCCUGCAUUAGCCCCAGUUGCUUUGGAGUGUGAGCGCUGUCUCUUUGGGGAGACUGUGGGCUCCUUGAGGGCUCUGCCUUUUUAUUCUGUGUAGCCCCAGCACACAAUGGGGAAAGGAAAAACAGUAGAAUAAUGCUCAUAAUAGAUAAGAUAAGAUGGAUGAAUAAAUAGGUAGAUGAAUAGGUAGGUAGGUGGAUGGAAGGAUGGAUGGAUGGAUAGAUCAAUGGGUGGGUGGGUGUAUGGAUGUGUGGGUGGAUGGAUCAAUAAAUGGAUAGAUGAAUGGGUGGGUGGAUGGAUGGACGGAUAAAUAGAUAGAUGAAUGAGUGGGUGGGUGAGUGAAUGGAUUGGCAAAUGGGUGUGUGGGUGGGUGAAAGCCUUGGUGGAUGGGUGUGUGGAUGGAUGGAUGGAUGGAUGGAUGGAUGGAUGGAUGGAUGGAUUGGAUGGAUAGAUGGAUGGAUGGAUGGGUGGGCUGAUGAAUGGAUGGAUGGAUGGAUGGGUGGGCCAAUGGAUGGAUGGAUGGGUGGAUUGGAUGGAUAGGUGGAUGGGUGCAUGGGUGGGUGGGUGGAUGGAUGGAUGGAUAGACGGAUGGAUGGAUGGGUAGAUGAGUGAAAUACAAUGACUGAGGUAAAAAUUGCCUCCUUU
Molecule: long non-coding RNA, 1795 nt
Filed under: Papio anubis (olive baboon)
Lineage: Eukaryota; Metazoa; Chordata; Mammalia; Primates; Cercopithecidae
Description: lncRNA (ENSPANG00000041452.1)
Source: RNAcentral